AUUCCACGCAUAAGACAUUUCCACAACAAUUCCUUAAAUCUUUCUCAUGUUUCAUACAAGCUUUCAUCAUCCAUUUGCUUAAAUGAAGUUAAAUAAUUUUCAAGUUU
Small nucleolar RNA from Hibiscus syriacus, 107 nucleotides. NCBI's taxonomy places the organism in Eukaryota, Viridiplantae, Streptophyta, Magnoliopsida, Malvales, Malvaceae. The record is from RefSeq and is a predicted model, not a curated record.